RNAcentral lists this ribosomal RNA (2905 nucleotides) under Klebsiella oxytoca MGH 28. RNAcentral's name for it is "bacterial LSU rRNA". It matches the Rfam family "Bacterial large subunit ribosomal RNA". Lineage: Bacteria; Pseudomonadati; Pseudomonadota; Gammaproteobacteria; Enterobacterales; Enterobacteriaceae. The record is from RNAcentral.
UUAAGCGACUAAGCGUACACGGUGGAUGCCCUGGCAGUCAGAGGCGAUGAAGGACGUGCUAAUCUGCGAAAAGCGUCGGUAAGGUGAUAUGAACCGUUAUAACCGGCGAUGUCCGAAUGGGGAAACCCAGUGCAAUUCGUUGCACUAUCGUUAACUGAAUACAUAGGUUAACGAGGCGAACCGGGGGAACUGAAACAUCUAAGUACCCCGAGGAAAAGAAAUCAACCGAGAUUCCCCCAGUAGCGGCGAGCGAACGGGGAGCAGCCCGGAGUCUGAAUCAGCUUGUGUGUUAGUGGAAGCGUCUGGAAAGUCGCAGGGUACAGGGUGAUACUCCCGUACACUAAAACACACAGGCUGUGAACUCGAAGAGUAGGGCGGGACACGUGGUAUCCUGUCUGAAUAUGGGGGGACCAUCCUCCAAGGCUAAAUACUCCUGACUGACCGAUAGUGAACCAGUACCGUGAGGGAAAGGCGAAAAGAACCCCGGCGAGGGGAGUGAAAAAGAACCUGAAACCGUGUACGUACAAGCAGUAGGAGCCCACUAGUUGGGUGACUGCGUACCUUUUGUAUAAUGGGUCAGCGACUUAUAUUCUGUAGCAAGGUUAACCGUAUAGGGGAGCCGCAGGGAAACCGAGUCUUAACUGGGCGUUAAGUUGCAGGGUAUAGACCCGAAACCCGGUGAUCUAGCCAUGGGCAGGUUGAAGGUUGGGUAACACUAACUGGAGGACCGAACCGACUAAUGUUGAAAAAUUAGCGGAUGACUUGUGGCUGGGGGUGAAAGGCCAAUCAAACCGGGAGAUAGCUGGUUCUCCCCGAAAGCUAUUUAGGUAGCGCCUCGUGAAUUCAUCUUCGGGGGUAGAGCACUGUUUCGGCUAGGGGGUCAUCCCGACUUACCAACCCGAUGCAAACUACGAAUACCGAAGAAUGUUAUCACGGGAGACACACGGCGGGUGCUAACGUCCGUCGUGAAGAGGGAAACAACCCAGACCGCCAGCUAAGGUCCCAAAGUCAUGGUUAAGUGGGAAACGAUGUGGGAAGGCCCAGACAGCCAGGAUGUUGGCUUAGAAGCAGCCAUCAUUUAAAGAAAGCGUAAUAGCUCACUGGUCGAGUCGGCCUGCGCGGAAGAUGUAACGGGGCUAAACCAUGCACCGAAGCUGCGGCAGCGACGCUUAUGCGUUGUUGGGUAGGGGAGCGUUCUGUAAGCCGUUGAAGGUGGCCUGUGAGGGUUGCUGGAGGUAUCAGAAGUGCGAAUGCUGACAUAAGUAACGAUAAUGCGGGUGAAAAACCCGCACGCCGGAAGACCAAGGGUUCCUGUCCAACGUUAAUCGGGGCAGGGUGAGUCGACCCCUAAGGCGAGGCCGAAAGGCGUAGUCGAUGGGAAACAGGUUAAUAUUCCUGUACUUGGUGUUACUGCGAAGGGGGGACGGAGAAGGCUAUGUUGGCCGGGCGACGGUUGUCCCGGUUUAAGCAUGUAGGCGGAUGUUCCAGGUAAAUCCGGAACGUCACUAACGCUGAGGUGUGAUGACGAGGCACUACGGUGCUGAAGUGACAAAUGCCCUGCUUCCAGGAAAAGCCUCUAAGCAUCAGGUAACAUCAAAUCGUACCCCAAACCGACACAGGUGGUCAGGUAGAGAAUACCAAGGCGCUUGAGAGAACUCGGGUGAAGGAACUAGGCAAAAUGGUGCCGUAACUUCGGGAGAAGGCACGCUGAUGGUAAGUGAAGUGACUUGCUCAUGGAGCUGAAAUCAGUCGAAGAUACCAGCUGGCUGCAACUGUUUAUUAAAAACACAGCACUGUGCAAACACGAAAGUGGACGUAUACGGUGUGACGCCUGCCCGGUGCCGGAAGGUUAAUUGAUGGGGUUAUCCUCGCGGAGAAGCUCUUGAUCGAAGCCCCGGUAAACGGCGGCCGUAACUAUAACGGUCCUAAGGUAGCGAAAUUCCUUGUCGGGUAAGUUCCGACCUGCACGAAUGGCGUAAUGAUGGCCAGGCUGUCUCCACCCGAGACUCAGUGAAAUUGAACUCGCUGUGAAGAUGCAGUGUACCCGCGGCAAGACGGAAAGACCCCGUGAACCUUUACUAUAGCUUGACACUGAACACUGGUCCUUGAUGUGUAGGAUAGGUGGGAGGCUUUGAAGUGUGGACGCCAGUCUGCAUGGAGCCAUCCUUGAAAUACCACCCUUUAAUGGCUGGUGUUCUAACGUGGGCCCCUAAUCGGGGUUGCGGACAGUGUCUGGUGGGUAGUUUGACUGGGGCGGUCUCCUCCUAAAGAGUAACGGAGGAGCACGAAGGUCAGCUAAUCCUGGUCGGACAUCAGGAGGUUAGUGCAAUGGCAUAAGCUGGCUUGACUGCGAGCGUGACGGCGCGAGCAGGUGCGAAAGCAGGUCAUAGUGAUCCGGUGGUUCUGAAUGGAAGGGCCAUCGCUCAACGGAUAAAAGGUACUCCGGGGAUAACAGGCUGAUACCGCCCAAGAGUUCAUAUCGACGGCGGUGUUUGGCACCUCGAUGUCGGCUCAUCACAUCCUGGGGCUGAAGUAGGUCCCAAGGGUAUGGCUGUUCGCCAUUUAAAGUGGUACGCGAGCUGGGUUUAGAACGUCGUGAGACAGUUCGGUCCCUAUCUGCCGUGGGCGCUGGAGAAUUGAGGGGGGCUGCUCCUAGUACGAGAGGACCGGAGUGGACGCAUCACUGGUGUUCGGGUUGUCAUGCCAAUGGCAUUGCCCGGUAGCUAAAUGCGGAAGAGAUAAGUGCUGAAAGCAUCUAAGCACGAAACUUGCCCCGAGAUGAGUUCUCCCUGACUCCUUGAGAGUCCUGAAGGAACGUUGAAGACGACGACGUUGAUAGGCCGGGUGUGUAAGCGCAGCGAUGCGUUGAGCUAACCGGUACUAAUGAACCGUGAGGCUUAACCUU